GUUUUGUAAAAACUAUUCAACCAAUACGAAUUGCUACAUAAUAUGCAUUUUGCAGAAGAUCUGUGAUGAUUUGGAGCUCUCUCCAAUGCUAUACCAGUAAUCAACUUAUGGAAGAAGCUAGAGCUGUUGGAGAAGAACGUGCUCUUCAUGUUUGCUCAAACAAUUCAGAGGGAAGUUUAGUGAGACAAUUUUUAACUUUAUUUCCAUUUACUCUUCGUCAUGAGAGCAAUUUUUUGUGCAUAAUUGGAGCUUGAGUUUUUGCUUUGGUAGUUGUGAAGUUGCAAACUGUUAUUGGAAUAAGAAGCCUCUACUUUUGCUUGUUACUGAAUAUGAAUUUUCUUUUUUUUUUUAAGAAGUAAAUUUGCUAAUUAUUGUUCUUUUUCUUAGGCACCCAAGAAAAGAGUAUGUACUGUUAGUAAAGACCAAGAGGAAAUUAUUAGAGCUUUAUUUGAGUAGUGCAAGAAGGAGAAUCAUAGAUUACUGAGUGAAAAGGUACCAGAACAGAAGAUUGAAGAAAAGCUUUUGCAAAGUUUUGAUGAUGAAACCUUAAGCUCUGUUAUGAAGAAAUCUAAGAGAAUCCCUUUGAAGUUGGAUAAGAAGCAUACAAGCACUUUGAAUGGGUGUAUGGUGAUCAACAAUCCCUCUAGCUAUGCUGUUGCUAAUGAUGUUACCAAAAGGGAUGGACACACUCAAUCUAGUGAGGUGGAAGUUGUAGGAAUUGAAGAUGAUGUUGCUUUCAAGCAUGUUGGCUUGGAUGACGAUGUAGAAGAUGAUGUUGGGAAGUGUCCUAAAUUCCUAAUUAGUAAAAAUUCAUUUUUGUAAAGAAUAUUGUAUAGAAUAUUUCCUAAGUUGAUUUGUUAUUGUAAUAUUAGAUUUCCUUAUUGAAUAAGGAAAGUUAUUAGGAAUAUCUCUAUAAACAUUUUAGGUUAUGAUGGGAAAAAGUUGUAAGAUAGAGAUAAGUUUGUAGAGACUAUACGAGGUGGAUAGAAAUAUGAGGAAGAAUAUAAAAUAUCCGGUGAAGAGAGGGGGCUUAUGAUUCAA
Molecule: RNA transcript, 1041 nt
Organism: Vitis riparia (riverbank grape)
Lineage: Eukaryota; Viridiplantae; Streptophyta; Magnoliopsida; Vitales; Vitaceae
Exons: 5
Source: RefSeq, a predicted model, not a curated record